ACUCCUUUAAACCCGGUCCUGUGAGGCCGGCAAGGGUUAGCGGGACUAAGCACGCAAAGACACCUCUUGCCGGCACUGAGUCGCAAGAGGUUUUUUCA
Dehalogenimonas formicexedens is the source of this 98-nucleotide non-coding RNA. The record is from Rfam. Lineage: Bacteria; Bacillati; Chloroflexota; Dehalococcoidia; Dehalococcoidales; Dehalococcoidaceae.